AUUACUGAUGUAUAACACGAUAUUCAGGUAAAGAUUAUCAGGAGUAACUGACUGAGAUAACAUCAUGCACCACUCUGACCA
This is a small nucleolar RNA of Trypanosoma brucei brucei TREU927, 81 nucleotides long. Lineage: Eukaryota; Euglenozoa; Kinetoplastea; Trypanosomatida; Trypanosomatidae. The record is from RefSeq and is a predicted model, not a curated record.